GAUGAACGCUGGCGGUGUGCCUAAUACAUGCCAGUCGAGCGACCAGACGAGGAGAUUGCUCCUCUACCGUUAGCGACGGACGGGUGAGUAAGAAGUGGAUAACCAACUUAUUAGUCUGGGAUAAUUUCGGGAAAACGGAGACACUACUAGCUCAUAUAAUCUACAGGUUGGAUCAAUAGAUCUUGAGGGCUUUCCCGUUUCUAUUAGCUGGAUUCGCGUCGCCUUAGUUAGUGGGUAAGGUAACACCUUACCAAGGCGACGAUGCGUAGCUGACCUGAGAGGAUGAUCAGCCACACUGGAACUGAGACACGGUCCAGACUCCUACGGGAGGCAGCAGUGGGGAAUCUUCGACAAUGGGCGAAAGCCUGACGCAGCAACGCCGCGUGAGUGAAGAAGGUCUUCGGAUCGUAAAGCUCUUUUGUUGGGGAAGAACAGCAGUAUGUGAAACCAUCGACGUCUUGACGGUACCUAAACAAAAAGCCACGGCUAACUUCGUG
This 497-nucleotide ribosomal RNA is filed under the name uncultured bacterium. RNAcentral describes it as "partial 16S ribosomal RNA". It matches the Rfam family "Bacterial small subunit ribosomal RNA", at positions 28 to 507 of the family's 1533-position model. The record is from RNAcentral.